Long non-coding RNA from Elgaria multicarinata webbii, 341 nucleotides. RefSeq lists it as uncharacterized. The record is from RefSeq and is a predicted model, not a curated record. The transcript has 3 exons. Lineage: Eukaryota; Metazoa; Chordata; Lepidosauria; Squamata; Anguidae.
CCGCAGAUGUACUGGCGGAAGAAGGGGCUGGCGCGCGCCCCGUCCUUGAUGCGCGCGGCCAGGGGCUUCGAGAUCUGCCUGACGCCCAGGGUCACCCGGACCAUGUGAACACAAAUAUGAAAAGCGGCUGGUGGGAGCUGCAGGAGGAAACAGGGUCAAAACAAGAAUUAAAGGACUUUCCUUCUGUCUUCCCUUUCUCGGAUGCCACCUUCUCUGCUCAGCCUUCGGAGAAAACUUCAGAAAAGCUGGAUGGGAUUUACAGAGGGAGCAUGUGAAGAAUGGAGCAAAGGGGUAGCUUCCCCAAGAAGAUCAAACCCAUGAGACUUUCUCUUGAGAGGGUG